UACGAAGGGGGGCUAGCGUUGUUCGGAAUUACUGGGCGUAAAGCGCGCGCAGGCGGUCUUCCAAGUCAGUGGUGAAAGCCCGGAGCUCAACUCCGGAACUGCCAUUGAAACUGUUGGACUUGAGUACGAGAGAGGUGAGUGGAAUUCCCAGUGUAGAGGUGAAAUUCGUAGAUAUUGGGAAGAACACCGGUGGCGAAGGCGGCUCACUGGCUCGGUAACUGACGCUCAGGCGCGGACAGCGUGGGGAUCAAACAGG
Molecule: ribosomal RNA, 256 nt
Filed under: uncultured bacterium
Lineage: Bacteria
Description: partial 16S ribosomal RNA
Rfam family: Bacterial small subunit ribosomal RNA
Source: RNAcentral